CCUCAGGGAGCAGUGCUCAGAUGAGCAGGCAGGCCCCACAUCCCCCACCCCAUGACGCUCUGUUCCACUUUGCAGGCUUCUGCAUUGGCCAGUCCCCACUGCUUUCUGGUGAGAUGUCCGAGUUGAAGUGAGUGUUGAAUGCCACACAGCUGAUGGAGCUCACUGCCUUGCACAUGUUGUAAAACACCUCCUGGUUACAAGGGUCAGCUGUGGAGACACAGCUUGAUGGGAGGGACUGGGUCACGAGACACCCCUGGCAAGGACCAGCUGGCAGAACAGGCUGGACACUCUCCUUCAGCCUCCCCAGCAGCCCUACCUGUGCUGUCAUCUGUGCUGAUGAUCUCCGUGACCCAGAACAAGUGGCAUCCCAGGAGCCUGGGAGGGGCUGGCAGAGACUUACUGGUUCCAGCAAAAGCCCAUGUGGAUGCAGCAAUGCUGCCUGCUGGUCCUUGGCUGUAAUUACAAACAGGUACUUGAGGUCCCCAUGCAUCUUGCAGCUCUCAGAGAGUGUGUUCCAGCUGCUCAUGGUAGGCACUUUUAGUCACUGAACGUGCUUCAGGAAUGGCCAAGCUUGAUUAAGCCAGGCGUCUUGCUGUGAGACCCUCCACCCAACUGAGGACCCUCUUCCUUGUUCCCCCUGGCAGUUUCACCUUCCAGUUCUGGUUCUAGAGACACGAUGGCCCCUCUUGGGCCCCUGGGAGAAUGUGCUCAGGUGACACACUGUCGACAGGGCCCAUUUCCAAGCCAUUCUUCCAUUUCCCACUGUUUGAGGGGCUGAGGCCGGUGAUCAGCACAGGGCCACCCAGGGCCAGCUGUCUGCACCUAAACAUCAUGCUGGUCUGGAUGUCUCAGGGCCAGAACUCUCCAGGUGAGAUGGCCUGGUCCUCAGCACCUGGCCUCCGUGCUCCUUUUUCCUCUGUUCAAUCCUGGCCCCAAUGCCUCCCGCAACUCUCAGGUCACCAUUGGAGAAGAUGCUCAGGAAGAACAAGAAGCUGCAGUCAACCCUGCUGAAGGUGGCAUAUGGGUCCAGGCUCUUGAGCUGGUCUUCGACAUGGUACAUGUGGAUGCAGGCUUUGAGCAGUGUGAGUAGCUCUUUCCGGAAGGAGGGGAAAACGGUGUUUCCAGGGUCCUACACCCUAGAACGACCCAUCUAGCACAGAAAACAGUUUGCAACGUGCUAUCAUGUGUGAUUUUAAUUUUCAACUUUAGGCUUUCAUUUUCAAUUUCCACAAUAAACACAUAAGGUGGGGUUCUGAUUUCAACACACACACAUUCUCUCUCUCUCCCUCUCUCUUAGAAUCUUCCAGUGCGUUCACACUGAAAGCCAAAGUCCUCCCAGAAUCUUGUGAGAACCUAAAUGAUCUGAAUAGUUUGUCAUUGAUUUUGGGGAUCUGGGAAAAUCUCUGCACAUUUCUGGAGACCGCUGUUAUGCCAAUUUUAAUAAAUCUGUUGUGCUUCAAUUCAGAAGUGUGUGAAGGGAGUUGUGGAGGAAUUGGCAUUUGGGUUAGAAAUUCCAGGAACACCAGAGACAGAUGACACCUGUUUUCUGCUUCAUAAUGUCAAGUUUUACGAUGGCUAAAACCUAAUUCUACAAGAAAAUUAGACUGAAAAACUUUAUAGGCAAAAAUUAUCUUAUUAAAUAGGAAAAUCUAAGUAUUUUAUUUUAAAAUUUCCUUUUUCUUAGUAGGACCUAAUCAUAGAAAUGUAAACUCUAUAUGCCAACAGCCUCUACUGUAGGAUGGUUUAUUGUAUGUACUCAUUUUACUGAUUUCUUACAAAAACUUUUUCCGUAAGGGAAAUUAGAAUAUUGUUCAACAUAUAUUGAAUUCACAAUUAUUACUUUAUUUCUCACUUAGUAUUUUAUGAUUCUGUCUUCUUUAAUAUGAAGAUUACUAUGACUGUGUUUUCACUUUCUGAAUUAUCAUGUGUCACAUUUGUCUGUAAUUUCCUUUCAGAAGUUGUAAAAUAGCAUGCUCAAAUGUAUAUAUUAUGUAUAAAUUAUAUAAUUUAUAAUUUAUUAAAAUAUUUGGCUUGUAUGUUUAAUUGACUCUAGGCACAAUGUUACUAUUAGCAUCUUCUUCCAGUUUUCCCAACUUUUAUUUGACUAAUAGUACAAUUUAUUUCCAAUUUUUAUUUUAUAUGUCAAUGUUUUAUACUGUAUUUACAAUAUUUAUAUUGUUACCAUAUUUAGAAAUGUAAGACUUUUCAAUUAAAAGCUAGAUUACAGCCUUAUCGUUUUGUGUAAGAAAAGCAGCAAUGCAUCAGUAGCAUAAUUUAAAACUUUCUCUAGUAUUACUUAAAUGCUUAUUCCUUAAAACUUUCUCAUCACAGCUCUUUGUAUUAAUUAUAAUGUGUUUUCUCUGAAAUGUUGUUGCCCUAACUGUAUCCAAAUAAUUCAAAAUUCAUACUUUUCAUAGAUUCACAGGAAGAGUUAAAAAUUGUAGUUACCUGGGAUUCUUUUUCAUUUGGACACUAUGUUUAUUCAGGAUUUUAUGGAUUAAAGUUUCUCUUAAUUAUGUUUUAUAAUUUUAUGUUUCUGUAUUUUUUAGAGUAGGCUGUCUCACAUCAGUUAAUUGUGUUUUUACUUUCUACCUAUUUAUUAUGAUUUUGAAUUUCAUUAUUCAAAUAAGAAUUUGGGGGUUAAUGUUUAUUUUAACUUUGUUUUGCAAUUUUACAUUUCUGUGUUUCAUGUUUUAGGGUAGGGCACCUUAUAUUAGUUUAUUGUUUUAAGUUUUAAUUUGUAUAAUAUAAUAUUGUAUAACAAUAUUCAACUCUGUAUGCAUUAAGACAGUGUGGGGCAGAAGUCAAAUAUGAACCAUCCCUAUGUCUUUUGUUAAUACAAUGAUUUAACUGUUUGUUUGCCUGUAUAAAUAUUGCCCCUAUUUUGUUUAUGACUUUUAUAUUUUCUUCUUAUUUGAUGGCCAAUAAUUUAUUCUGUCUAAGUGAGUAAUCAUGGAAAUUGUCUUAAUUUCAACAUCUAUUGUUUAUAUUAUCUUAGUGUGAAGGAAAGAUUUAUGUGAUUUGAAGAUAA
Molecule: long non-coding RNA, 3031 nt
Filed under: Homo sapiens (human)
Lineage: Eukaryota; Metazoa; Chordata; Mammalia; Primates; Hominidae
Description: HSALNT0402536
Source: RNAcentral